ACGAUGCGGGAAAAACUUGCAUAACACUCUCAUUGCGGUCCGCAGUGUUAGAGGCACUUAGUCACUGACUGAUUGCGGUAGCAAUGUUGGAGGCCAGGCCAGGCAAUUCCGUCAAUCUAGAAUAGAUUGCUAUUUUGGGGAUCAAUUUGAGGCUAGCCAAGCACGAGUUCCUUCCCCGCCCCCAAAGCGCACUCAUUCCAGGUCAAUUAGCAGUGAAAUUAUUGUUAUAAUGGAACAUUUUUUUGGCUUUUUCGACGUGUGAGGCAUGGGGAGCAAUGACUAAUUAACCAUGGAUUGCAACAGAUCAUACAAAGCUGCAUAAUGUUCUCGAAUGUGCGGAGGACGCUGCACGGAGCACCCAAGCAUGGCACGAAUUGCCAAUACGCCUUUUCUAAUACAUUGCAUUGCAAAUCGAAUCGUUUCUAACUUCACUGCCCACAAUUUUAAGUUAAUAGUUUACUUUAUACACUUUUUGCACUUCUUUUCUGCGAAAAUACAGCCUACAGUCUAUUUGCGAUGAAAAAAGCAUAGUAACCAGUCUCGUCGUAUUUUUGCAACUUUUACCCAUUUUUCGGCUACUAUUCGACUCACCUUCGACUUUAGACAAUGCAAUCAAAUAAAAAUGAAAUUAAUUGUGAAUUAUUUGACAUUAAACGCUUGGUUUUUUCCGA
This is a long non-coding RNA of Drosophila miranda, 671 nucleotides long. RefSeq lists it as uncharacterized. NCBI's taxonomy places the organism in Eukaryota, Metazoa, Arthropoda, Insecta, Diptera, Drosophilidae. The transcript is spliced from 3 exons. The record is from RefSeq and is a predicted model, not a curated record.